RNAcentral lists this ribosomal RNA (494 nucleotides) under uncultured bacterium. RNAcentral describes it as "partial 16S ribosomal RNA". It matches the Rfam family "Bacterial small subunit ribosomal RNA", at positions 28 to 507 of the family's 1533-position model. The record is from RNAcentral.
GUCGAACGCUGGCGGCGUGCUUAACACAUGCAAGUCGAACGGUGAAGCGCCUUCCUUUUUGGUGGGUGUGGAUGAGUGGCGAACGGGUGAGUAACACGUGAGUAACCUGCCCCCUUCUUCUGGAUAACCGCAUGAAAGUGUGGCUAAUACGGGAUAUUCUGGGUCUGUCGCAUGAUGGGUCUGGGAAAGAUAUUGUUUCGGUGGGGGAUGGGCUCGCGGCCUAUCAGCUUGUUGGUGGGGUGAUGGCCUACCAAGGCGGUGACGGGUAGCCGGCCUGAGAGGGUGGACGGUCACACUGGGACUGAGACACGGCCCAGACUCCUACGGGAGGCAGCAGUGGGGAAUAUUGCACAAUGGGCGCAAGCCUGAUGCAGCGACGCCGCGUGAGGGAUGGAGGCCUUCGGGUUGUGAACCUCUUUCGCCAGUGAAGCAGGCCUGCCUCGUUUGUGGGUGGGUUGACGGUAGCUGGAUAAGAAGCGCCGGCUAACUACGUG